UACAGAGGGUGCAAGCGUUAAUCGGAUUUACUGGGCGUAAAGGGCGCGUAGGUGGUUAUUUAAGUUUGAUGUGAAAUCCCUGGGCUUAACCUAGGAACUGCAUUGAAAACUGGAUAACUGGAGUACUGUAGAGGGUAGUGGAAUUUCCGGUGUAGCGGUGAAAUUCGUAGAGAUUGGGAAGAACACCGGUGGCGAAGGCGGCCAACUGGACUGGUAUUGACGCUGAGGCGCGAAAGUGUGGGGAUCAAACAGG
Molecule: ribosomal RNA, 253 nt
Filed under: uncultured bacterium
Lineage: Bacteria
Description: partial 16S ribosomal RNA
Rfam family: Bacterial small subunit ribosomal RNA
Source: RNAcentral